This 94-nucleotide non-coding RNA is filed under the name unclassified sequences. RNAcentral's name for it is "Rhodo-rpoB RNA". It matches the Rfam family "Rhodo-rpoB RNA". The record is from RNAcentral.
GUUUCGGGCGAGGGAUCUUUGGGAGGUCUCUCUGGUAUGGAAACGAAAACUGUCCCGAUCUGGCACUGCCGCGGACGCCCAAACCGUGUGUUGU